UUUUAACUAAAAAAGUAGAUAUUAAAUAUCUGAUCCCAUGCCGAACUCAAACAUAACUCUAUCUUUGCUAAAACUACUAUUUUUAUGGAAUUCUUAGACAGUUAAAA
This 107-nucleotide ribosomal RNA is filed under the name Gracilaria vermiculophylla. Lineage: Eukaryota; Rhodophyta; Florideophyceae; Gracilariales; Gracilariaceae. The record is from RNAcentral.